GCCUCUUGUUGGCGCAGUUGGCAGCGUGUCAGUCUUGUAAUCUGAAGGUUGUGAGUUCAACCCUCACACGGGGCA
Molecule: non-coding RNA, 75 nt
Organism: Etheostoma spectabile (orangethroat darter)
Lineage: Eukaryota; Metazoa; Chordata; Actinopteri; Perciformes; Percidae
Source: the annotation of a RefSeq genome assembly